Molecule: ribosomal RNA, 253 nt
Filed under: uncultured bacterium
Lineage: Bacteria
Description: partial 16S ribosomal RNA
Rfam family: Bacterial small subunit ribosomal RNA
Source: RNAcentral
UACAGAGGGUGCGAGCGUUACUCGGAAUUACUGGGCGUAAAGCGCGCGUAGGCGGCUUUGCAAGUCGGGUGUGAAAUCCCCAGGCUUAACCUGGGAACUGCAUUCGAGACUGCAUUGCUAGAGUAUGGGAGAGGGAAGUGGAAUUUCAGGUGUAGCGGUGAAAUGCGUAGAUAUCGGAAGGAACAUCAGUGGCGAAAGCGACUUCCUGGACCAAUACUGACGCUCAUGUGCGAAAGCGUGGGGAGCAAACAGG